RNAcentral lists this long non-coding RNA (912 nucleotides) under Zalophus californianus (California sea lion). RNAcentral describes it as "lncRNA (ENSZCAG00015003336.1)". The record is from RNAcentral. Lineage: Eukaryota; Metazoa; Chordata; Mammalia; Carnivora; Otariidae.
CCUUUGAUGUUCUUACCAGCAUCUUAUUUUAAUAUACUUUUUCUUUAUCGUUAGCCAGCAAAUGCAGAACAGCUAAAACACAAUGUUAAAGACUCAGCAGUGCAUAUCUGAUUGAAUAACCAAUAAACAAAAUACAGUGUUUCAUUUUCCCUGAAACUGCUGCCCUCAUUUCUCCAAAGACAGAUCAUGGAGGCAAAAAAAGUUGCUCAAAAAGUUUGGGUGAGUCUGACGAACAAAUUGUCAAAGCCACCUACUCUACGUAUUUUAUAAACCCGGAACUGAUUUGAAAUGAAGGAAAACAUAAGAAGCUUAUUAAUGAAUUAUCUUAUGCAGUCCAUAAACAGAAGACACCAGACCUCUGUCUUUUGGCAUCUCACAUGUAGACUAAGAAUUGUGCGUAGACUCUGGCUAUACUAAGUGAGAAGCUGAAAUCCUAAAAUGUUCAUCUUCCAACUUUUUCCAGUCUGUGGUCUGUCUUGGGAUCAGCAGUAAUUGCCUGGACAGCUAUAAUGGCUUCAUUAAUUUUUGUUUGUGUUCUGUGUUCUUCAUGCAAUGAUAGAAGAAAUGCAUCUCCUGGGUCAAAGUCUAAAUGUUCUUUUCUAAACUGAUCAACUGCAUCUGAUAUAAACACUCCGAAUGUAAAAAGCAAAUUGCAUUAGGGAUUUCCGCAUAAUCAUCAGGGCAACAAAACUGAUGUUUAGCCAAAACCAUUAUACCAGCUUCAAAAUCAGGAAUAUUUACAUUUAAAUUUGUUUUUUAAGCUGCAUUGUCAACAUUUUUUUUGUAUUCUCGUGUGCCAAAAAUUUGUAUUUUUCAGUACUGUGUCCGUAUUCACAAUUUACAGCUAAUCCAGAGAGCCAGUCAGUUGUGUUUUUAUUGAUUUGUAGUCUCAAAGGAAAAGCUAACAUCUUG